Anser brachyrhynchus (Pink-footed goose) is the source of this 1112-nucleotide long non-coding RNA. The record is from Ensembl. NCBI's taxonomy places the organism in Eukaryota, Metazoa, Chordata, Aves, Anseriformes, Anatidae.
AUAAUAAAAAAGAACUACUCUUUUAUUAUGUUCUUGAUAAUGUCAAAAUGAUAAAAGAAUUUGGAGUCAGGUGUCAAUGAAACAGUGUUGUGAAUCCUCCUCGUUUGGCAUUUCAAAAUGUCCAGUGUCAAGCCUAGGAACUGGGAUAUAUGUUUCUUAGUUGACAUUAUGGUUCUUAGAGUUCUGUGCUUUGUUAUUUGAUACCUUGGCUGCUUACUUAAGCUCCAUAUGCAAAUACAAAGCUCAAAUACAAAGCUGGAGUGUUAAGAUUAAAGAGCUAAGAUUCCAAGAUUAAAAUGGGAGAUGAAUGUUUCCUGUAAAUAUGUAUCAUUAGUCUGAUUUUUAAAGGAUGUUUAGCAAUGAUUUGAAUAAAUAAAUAAAUAAAACAGCAUUGUAAAGGAAACAGUCCAAAAUGCUUUAAAAAGCAUGUAUGGCAGAAAAACCUUUCUACAGCUGUAAAUGAGCUGCAGUCUGACACCCACAGCAAAAGUACUUGUUAGCGGAGCAGCUAAGCCCCAGGUGAUGCCGUUUGGAUCGUUUUCCCUUAUAACACAUCCCUUCCCUAUCUGACUAUAGUCUGAGCAAGCUGCGGAGGGUCUCUAUUCCUGGUAGCACCUCAGAGCAGAGGCACAAGGGAGGCGAAGGCUCUUCCCCAAGGCCGGGCAGAGGCUCUGUGCCCAGCACCAUCUCCUGCUCCCUCUCACGGGGCCAGCGCAGACACGGACACCUUCGGCUGCAGGUCUCAGGAUGAGAUGGCUCCAGGAAACAGCAUCACAAAGUUAGCAGCGUGAAGUGGAUGAUGAGAUGGUGUCAUUCCCAGAAAGACUUCUGCUGUUGGUAUCUCGUGAAGCAUCUUGACAGUGUGAUGGCAUCCCACAGCUCCUCGUGCUUCUUCAGGUUGCUCCUGUUACUGAUCUUGCUUUGGGUUUUGCUGAGGAACACGCUGAGACUUCAUUUGCUAUGCCCUAGCCAUCUCAGAUCUGUUUUGGACUGUGCUGGUUCUUCCAUUUGUUUCCCGGUGUGGCUGGCACAUCUGUGGUAAGAUUUUGCUUUCUCAGACUGCCCUGUGACAAUUUACUUUCAAUACUAAUAAAAGUCUACUUAAUUUAUCA